CCUAAUACAUGCAAGUCGAGCGGUAAGGCUUUCACAGUAUAUUUAACCAGAUAAGUUCUUCGGAAAACUGUUUGCAGCGAUGAUUCCCCGGCUAGGGAAUCAGAGUUGAAUAAUGCGUGAAAGUACACGAGCGGCGGACGGCUGAGUAACACGUAGGAACGUACCCCAAAGUGAGGGAUAAGCACCGGAAACGGUGUCUAAUACCGCAUGUGAUCUUCGGAUUAAAGCUUCGGCGCUUUGGGAACGGCCUGCGCAUGAUUAGCUUGUUGGUGAGGUAAAAGCUCACCAAGGCGACGAUCAUUAGCUGGUCUGAGAGGAUGAUCAGCCAGACUGGGACUGAGAACGGCCCAGACUCCUACGGGAGGCAGCAGUAGGGAAUUUCCACAAUGGACGAAAGUCUGAUGGAGCAACGCCGCGUGCAGGAUGAAGGGUUUCGGCUCGUAAACUGCUUUUAUCUGUGAAGAUUAUGACGGUAGCAGAUGAAUAAGGAUCGGCUAACUCCGUG
Molecule: ribosomal RNA, 505 nt
Filed under: uncultured bacterium
Lineage: Bacteria
Description: bacterial SSU rRNA
Rfam family: Bacterial small subunit ribosomal RNA
Source: RNAcentral